GCCGCUGCUGCAUGACUCAGACUCCAGUUCCCGGCAGCCGGCCGCAACCGGGCAGCCUUCCAGCAGCGGGUCAGACCGACGCGGCUUCACUGCCGGGAAGAGGCCCUGGCAGCCUCCUGCGUCUCCAGCCCAUGGUUUGAUGGGCACACCCUGUCCUUCAGGAGGGGACACGGGCAUGGUCUCACCCCUCCUGCCCUGGUGUCUUCUCUCAGGCUGGGCAGCAGUCCUGGGCCAGAGACCCUGCCCCCGCCUCCCCGGAGACCUGCCUUGCUCUGCCCGCAGUGAGUCAAGUCCGGCGUCUGUGCAGAUGCUGACCUGAGGAGCAGGGGUCGCCUAUCAGCAACCUGGGCUGCCCUCACCCCCUCCUUCCGCCAGGGCUGAGCACCCAAUGUCGGGGACCCCUCUGCCGCCGCCUCUGAGUCUUGACUCACCCUCGGAGCACCUCCUGAGUGGGGUCAGCAGGUCGACACGGGGCAGGGGGAGCUUCAGAAGAGCCGGCUCCAGCCCUGGCAACACCCCACUCGGGCCUCGGGCCUGGGCCUGAGCUUCCCCACCCGCACACGCGGUGAGGACAACACUCCUGCCAGGCCCUGGGCUGUGAAGACAGCAAGGACAGUGGAUCAGUGGACCAGGGGCCGCUGGCCCCGGUGACAUGGAGGCAGGAGAGAGCCAGCGCCUGGUCACCUCCUGCAGGGUCACCGUGUCUGUCCAGGCUGGGCAGUCUGACUGGGCAGUGUGAUUGCUCACACACUGCAGAGCCGGCUGUUGUGCGGGCAGCCGGGCAGGAGGCAGGAGGCUCUGGUCCAGGGUUCAGAAAAUGAUCUCAUCUGGUGACUUUUUAAAUUGAUGUUUCCAGUAGCUUGGCUGAGAAGGACCAGGGGGAGGGAGGGUGAUUCGUGCAAACAGGACAGGGCCCGGAGGAGCCCGAAGACGUCCAGGGUGGGGAGAGGUGAGCCUGGCCGGCGGGUGAGGAUCCCGGGCCUGAUGGCUGCGCAGGGAGGCUGACUGCAGGAGCCCGGGGUGGGGCUGAUGGGAA
Molecule: long non-coding RNA, 1036 nt
Organism: Myotis brandtii (Brandt's bat)
Lineage: Eukaryota; Metazoa; Chordata; Mammalia; Chiroptera; Vespertilionidae
Exons: 3
Source: RefSeq, a predicted model, not a curated record